Molecule: long non-coding RNA, 1683 nt
Organism: Homo sapiens (human)
Lineage: Eukaryota; Metazoa; Chordata; Mammalia; Primates; Hominidae
Product: long intergenic non-protein coding RNA 847
Source: Ensembl
GCGGUUCUCACAGCCCGCCGCCGCCGCCGCCUCGGGGACCUUUGCGGGGAGGCCUCAGGGCACCUUCCUCCUCUCUCUCAGGCACGUCCUCGACCUCAGUUGCCACGUGCACAUGCUGGUGCCUUCCAGGUCGGUCUUUCUCCACCAGACUCCACCUGGAACUUUCUUCCUUUUCGUCCUGUGCUGGCCUAACCCCUGCUCGGCCUCGGCCCUCAGCUGCCGGCUCUAACAAAGCCUCUGUCUUUCCCAGACCCCUGUGACCAGGCUGGAGUAUAGUGGCAUGAUCAUAGAUCACUGCAGCCUCAAACUCCUGGGCUCAAGCGAUCCUCCCACCUCAGCCUCCAUAUAGCUGGUGGGGACCAAGUUUCUAACACAUGAAUGUUGGGAGACACAUUCAGACCAUCGCAGUGGCCUUAUAAAAAGAGACACAAGAGCUUGCUCUCUGCCAUGUGAGAAUACCACAAGAAGACUGUCCUCAGCAAAUCAGAAAGCGGGUGGACCCUCAUCAGACACCAGAUGUGCCUGCACCUUGAUCUUGGACUUGCCAGCCUUCAGAACAGUAAGAAAGAAAUGUGUGUUGUUUAAGCCACCCAGUCUAUGGUAACUUGCUAUAGCAGCCCACUAGGAGACCCCAAGAUAUUUAAAAACUCAUCAGCACCUGCUUUCUGCAUCUGGACCCUGAUCUUCUGGUGGGUUUACCAGUUACUUGUAGAGUGUCCCUGUGAUAGUUUUAGGUGUCAACUUGACAGGAUUGAGGGAUGCCUAGAUGGCUGGGGAAGCACUGUUUCUGAGAAGGACCAUGUUUUUGGAGGAGACUGUUUUAUGAGUGAAUUUCAGGGGACACAUUCAGAUCAUGGCAGUGGCAUUAUAAAGAGAGACACAAAAGCUUGCUCUCUCUCUCUGCCAUGUAAGACUACCACACAAAGACUGCCAUCUGCAAACCAGAAGCAGGUGGGCUUUCCUCAGACACCAGAUCUGCCUGCACCUUGAUCUUGGACUUGCCAGCCUUCAGAACUCUAAGAAAGAAAUGGUAGCAUGGCUUGGUCUAAGUUGGAAGGCCUGAGAAACAAGCACAUGGUGGAACUGAGUUCAAGGAUAAAGACUUGAGAAUACCUGCUCAGUGGACUGAGUAGGGAAGAUCAACCCUCAAUGUAGGCAGGCACUAUCCAAUCACCUGAGGGCCCAGAUGGAACAAAAAGGUGGAAGAAGGGUGAAUUCUCUCUUCCAGAGCUGUGACACCCUUCUCAUGCCCUUGUACCACACAACUCUAGGUCCUUUGGCCUUUGGACUCUGACACUUGCACCAGUGGCCCUCUGGGGCUCUCAAGCCUUUAGCCUUGAACUUAGUUACACCAUGUGCCUCCUUGUUUCUCAGGCCUUCCAACUUGGAUCAGGCCAUGCCACCGGCUUCUCUGAUUCUCCAGCUUGCAGAUGGUAUAUUGUGACCCUGGCAUUUAAUAACUAUGACUUUGGUCUUAAGCAAUUUUCUUCCUCUGUGGAUUGAUAUUUACAUAUCAAUGUGGAUAAUAAUUUCUUACCACGGUAACUGUUGUGAGGUAAAAAUGAGUUAACAUAAGUAAAACCGAGCACAUGCAAACCAUCCGAAAUGGUUAAUACUUACUAUUUGUACUUGAAGAAAUAAAUGUUUUUGACAAUAAACUUCUUGUGCAGUUUUCCUCAGCCA